Molecule: non-coding RNA, 29 nt
Filed under: Mus musculus (house mouse)
Lineage: Eukaryota; Metazoa; Chordata; Mammalia; Rodentia; Muridae
Source: RNAcentral
UGCAAGUUGCUGGCUGUCGGAUCUUAAAU